This 70-nucleotide transfer RNA is filed under the name Mesorhizobium atlanticum. Its description in RNAcentral is "Mesorhizobium sp. CNPSo 3140 tRNA-Cys". It matches the Rfam family "tRNA". From Rfam's summary of the family: Transfer RNA (tRNA) molecules are approximately 80 nucleotides in length. Their secondary structure includes four short double-helical elements and three loops (D, anti-codon, and T loops). Lineage: Bacteria; Pseudomonadati; Pseudomonadota; Alphaproteobacteria; Hyphomicrobiales; Phyllobacteriaceae. The record is from RNAcentral.
GGCCUCGCGGCGGUUCACGCAGAGGACUGCAAAUCCUUCAAUCCCGGUUCGAUUCCGGGCGAGGCCUCCA